UACAGAGGUCUCAAGCGUUGUUCGGAUUCAUUGGGCGUAAAGGGUGCGUAGGCGGCGCGGUAAGUCGGGCGUGAAAUCUCGGAGCUUAACUCCGAAACUGCAUUCGAUACUGCCGUGCUUGAGGACUGGAGAGGAGACUGGAAUUUACGGUGUAGCGGUGAAAUGCGUAGAUAUCGGAAGGAAGACCAGUGGCGAAGGCGGGUCUCUGGACAGUUCCUGACGCUGAGGCACGAAGGCGAGGGGAGCAAACGGG
This 253-nucleotide ribosomal RNA is filed under the name uncultured bacterium. RNAcentral describes it as "partial 16S ribosomal RNA". It matches the Rfam family "Bacterial small subunit ribosomal RNA", at positions 524 to 776 of the family's 1533-position model. The record is from RNAcentral.